CAGCCGCCACGGUAAUACGUAGGGCGCAAGCGUUAUCCGGAAUUAUUGGGCGUAAAGAGCUCGUAGGCGGUUUGUCGCGUCUGCCGUGAAAGUCCGGGGCUCAACCCCGGAUCUGCGGUGGGUACGGGCAGACUAGAGUGAUGUAGGGGAGACUGGAAUUCCUGGUGUAGCGGUGAAAUGCGCAGAUAUCAGGAGGAACACCGAUGGCGAAGGCAGGUCUCUGGGCAUUAACUGACGCUGAGGAGCGAAAGCAUGGGGAGCGAACAGGAUUAGAUACCCGCGUAGUCCCUGUCUCUUAUAA
This 301-nucleotide ribosomal RNA is filed under the name uncultured bacterium. RNAcentral describes it as "partial 16S ribosomal RNA". It matches the Rfam family "Bacterial small subunit ribosomal RNA", at positions 509 to 809 of the family's 1533-position model. The record is from RNAcentral.